CUUCACUCAUUGAAAGAAUAUUUACCGAAUACUCCUAUGCUGGCACAAGGGACUCAGCGGUGACUUCAUGGAAUUUAUAGUCGCAUAGAAGAAGCAGUUAUACAACAGGCACAGCUUCAGAUUCUUUCUGUCAAUAGCACUUCAGCAUCUCCUCAUUAUCAAGAUGGAACACGAGGAAGCUCCCAUCUCCUCUCAGAAAUUUGGCAUAUGCUACAGAGGCCUCAUGCAGGAAAACAAUUGAACUUUACUUACCCAGAGAGAAAGAUCCGGAUGACUGCAUAAAAUAUGUCUGGAUCAACAUAAUCUGGAGAAGCAAUCAAAAUGUGAACUUUACUACAGGCAAAGAAAGCAAUUGGUUACAUGUGCUUGGGUCCUGCUGCUCUCCUGGGGCCAUCUCCUCUAUCUGAUCUUUGUGGAAACCUGGAAGGAAGGCCAUAGCAGGAGGGGGAUGGAAUGUUCUCUUCUGUGGCCCCUCACUGGCACUUACAGAAUAUUAAACUGUUCCAAAUGCUCCUCUCUUCUAUUUGUGGCACUUCCCUUUCCUGAACUUCAUAACAACAGAAGGAGUGGUCAAGGUCAUUUUUAAAAAUUAAUCUUUUAAACAGACAUGAUAUUUGAAAGAACGCAGGAAGUAGUAAGAAGAAACAUGGAGAAAAAGAGUCACCUUUCUCAAGGCUUUCACAAGAGAGGAAAACUAAAGUCAUCAAUGCUCAAGCAAAGUUCCGUACAUGCAACGAAGGACAGAGGAGGCGAGAGUGUCUCACGCAGGGGUUGCCACACCAGGGCCUGCAUGGGUUGUACAGCUCCCUUUGUAGCUGCAUCCAUAGUCUAAUCAGCUAGUUUUGCCUCUAAGCCAAUGCGUGGGGGUAAUGGAUUCCACUAGUUUAUUAAUUUACAUUUAAAGAAACGUGUCCUUACAUUUGCACUACAUUUCUUUUCAUUAACUUUUGAAGAUUGUUCCUUCUUCUUCACGUAACGCGGCCCCUCUGUGACCUGGCAUGUUUCUAUUACCUGGAUUCCUGUCUAUGUUUCCUUGUUUCUCUUUGAGAACAAAACAAAACAAAACAAAAAACAGGGGUGCCUCAGUGGCUCAGUCAGUUAAGUGUUUGCCUUUGGCUCAGGUCAUGAUG
Molecule: long non-coding RNA, 1130 nt
Organism: Canis lupus familiaris (dog)
Lineage: Eukaryota; Metazoa; Chordata; Mammalia; Carnivora; Canidae
Exons: 3
Source: RefSeq, a predicted model, not a curated record